CCGAUAGUGAACCAGUACCGUGAGGGAAAGGCGAAAAGAACCCCGGCGAGGGGAGUGAAAAAGAACCUGAAACCGUGUACGUACAAGCAGUGGGAGCACGCUUAGGCGUGUGACUGCGUACCUUUUGUAUAAUGGGUCAGCGACUUAUAUUCUGUAGCAAGGUUAACCGAAUAGGGGAGCCGAAGGGAAACCGAGUCUUAACUGGGCGUUAAGUUGCAGGGUAUAGACCCGAAACCCGGUGAUCUAGCCAUGGGCAGGUUGAAGGUUGGGUAACACUAACUGGAGGACCGAACCGACUAAUGUUGAAAAAUUAGCGGAUGACUUGUGGCUGGGGGUGAAAGGCCAAUCAAACCGGGAGAUAGCUGGUUCUCCCCGAAAGCUAUUUAGGUAGCGCCUCGUGAAUUCAUCUCCGGGGGUAGAGCACUGUUUCGGCAAGGGGGUCAUCCCGACUUACCAACCCGAUGCAAACUGCGAAUACCGGAGAAUGUUAUCACGGGAGACACACGGCGGGUGCUAACGUCCGUCGUGAAGAGGGAAACAACCCAGACCGCCAGCUAAGGUCCCAAAGUCAUGGUUAAGUGGGAAACGAUGUGGGAAGGCCCAGACAGCCAGGAUGUUGGCUUAGAAGCAGCCAUCAUUUAAAGAAAGCGUAAUAGCUCACUGGUCGAGUCGGCCUGCGCGGAAGAUGUAACGGGGCUAAACCAUG
This 706-nucleotide ribosomal RNA is filed under the name Escherichia coli. Its description in RNAcentral is "partial 23S ribosomal RNA". It matches the Rfam family "Bacterial large subunit ribosomal RNA", at positions 484 to 1191 of the family's 2925-position model. Lineage: Bacteria; Pseudomonadati; Pseudomonadota; Gammaproteobacteria; Enterobacterales; Enterobacteriaceae. The record is from RNAcentral.